This 7224-nucleotide long non-coding RNA is filed under the name Volvox carteri. RNAcentral's name for it is "long non-coding RNA (VCAR_LNC003669)". The record is from RNAcentral. Lineage: Eukaryota; Viridiplantae; Chlorophyta; Chlorophyceae; Chlamydomonadales; Volvocaceae.
ACAUGUAUAAAAUCUCAGUUGUGGGUAUCAACCGUUUCCACAUUUGUAACACAACCCCUUAUACAUUAUGUGUGGGACAGGCGGGCAUAUCUACACCGGUGGUCGCUACCAGGUGAAACUCUGUCUACCUGUAGCAGCCGGUACACAGUACGGCGCUAUAAAUACGCGCAGAGCGCGACCGCCAGCAACUCGAGUGACCUUUUCAGCGGUCAGCUGCUACAUUUUGGUAUCGACGAUCAUUUGUUCGGUCCUCGCCUCACAUAGCUAAGACUAAGGCUGUUUCUUUGAGCGAUGCUAAGCACGUUCCUAUUCCGCGACCGAAGUCUAAGACUACGGCGCAAAUUCCUGCCGAUGCUACAACCGCUUCGGACCCACUUCGCGUUGCGAAAAUUAACAAGCGCAAAUUAAGGAAACAAUCCUUCGCUUCGCUUCGUAAAUACCUUUCCUCUGUCCCUGUUGAUAACGACAUUCAGGACACGAUGACGCCAACUGAUAACGUGGCGACUGCCCUCGACACUACUGGCAAUGAUGCGGUUGACGCGACGACGGAAGUUCCCAAAGCCAAAGCGCCUGGCACUUUGCCAGCGCAUUUGGUUGAAACUUUACGACAGUCAGUGCCGAACCGCGUCGGCGCCUUGGAGCGUUCCCUGGAAGGAACGCACCAGGAGAUGGCAGAACUGCGUGACGACAUUAUAUCGUUACGAAAUUCUUCACAGCGUGUGGAGACGCAACUCCAGGAGUUACUCUCCAAGCUGUCAACGCCCUCAAGCCCACCACCUCCCAAUCCACGGUCCGUGGCCAUUUGCAAGAUUAUCAAGCAAGUGGCUGCGUCUUCCUUGGCUGGCAUUUUGUCAAAAGAGAGUCUUCAGGUUACCGCUUUCCAGGCGGCCCUGGACUCCCUGACGAUAGAGCCGGAGGUCACCCUGGAGGAGGUCCGGAAACUUUGGGACACCGGUGCGGUGGAGAGCGGCCCUGGCGGUAGCGCUACGGACUCCGACUCCGUGCGGCCUGCGCUACAGCCCACGGGCAAAACGCCGCGUACCGAGGUGAGUACGCAGAAACGCGUUCCGCUUCCCCCAAAAUUUUCGGGAAAAAGGGAUACGCAUAUUACUUGCACCUGAUCGUGGUUCGAGUUCCUUUUGCAAUACUUAGACUUAAUGCAAAUGGACCCGUUAGAGCACUUUGUCUACUUCGUAUUGGGCAAAGCUCUAGUCUGGGCCACGGACAUUUUCGGGGAGCACCGAUCGGGCAAGAAGCUUUUGACGCGUGAUUCUUUACGUGCUGCCUUUUUGUUGCAAUAUGGCGAUACGCAACGCAACAUGGCUAUGGCCGCUCGCGAUAGGUUGCAUGCGAACGAACACGCCAUGAAAGCAACUGAAACAGUGCCCGAAUAUACUCAACGUUUUCACGAUAUAAUUCGUGAAGCGAAAGAUAUGAACCCUAGCGAUCAAAUCGGCUGGUACGUUAAGGGGUUACUACCACCUUUGCGCAGCCGGUGUGCGACAAGCGAAGAGGGCAAAGAUUGGGACAGCUUAGAUAAGCUAAUCCUUUACGCUGUUGGGCAAGAGGUUCGGUGGCAGUCGGGCAAAGACAAGCCUACCGUCCAUGCAGUUAGCGCUGACCUUAAUGCGAUCACUGCUAAAAAGCCCUUCAAUAAAUUUAAGCGUUCGUCCUCUGAUCGCAAUUCGCAGGGUUGGCAACCCGCCAAUCGGCCCAAGAAGGCGCGUCUGGAGCAAGAACAGCUGGCGGCACACACUUGCCGCAAAUGCCGUCGCGUGAAGCCCGCCCACCAGAGCUGGGCGGAGCACAAGCCCGACUGCAUUCGACACCUCAAGGCUAACGCCGAGAAGACGCUGUCCCUUGCCGCGAAGAUGGAGAAUGCCAUGGCUGAUUAGCGGGUCGGCAAGCGUGUUGUUGGGGGCUGUGAGCAACCGGAAUGUCCUAAGGACUCCGCUAACUUGCAAAUCAGAGAGUCCUUGUUGCCCGUUUGUGAUCCGCUUAGCUGUGAUCACAUGUACCUCCCGGACGAGUUUCGUAACGUGGAGAACAUGUUGGGACGGCAGUUCACCUUUGACGCUGCUUGUAACAACUCUGGCGACAAUAGUCUUUGUACACGCUUUGCCUCCCCUUCAAAUUCGUUCUUGACCUCCGAUGUCUCUGGCGAGUUUGUCUGGGCAAAUCCCCCAUACACAAAAAUUGAACUUUGGCAUAAGCAUUACCUGCGCUGCAAGCGUAUGCGUCCCGAAACCACUUCAGCGGUUUUUGUAGUACCGAAAUGGUCUCAAAUUGAAAGACGCAUGCGAGCGGCAGGACACCAGCUGCUAAAAACAUAUGCCGUAGGGACGAAACUGUUCUUAGAGAAAGCAGACGAUGGUAGUCGUCAGGAAAUGCCCGGUAUCCCGUGGCCUAUCCAGCUUUGGUAUGACCCGCCAGCUAAAGAGGUUCAGCUGAACAGUAUUGGCUCCUCACAGUCCAUGAUUUUUGGCGCAUUCUUAUGCCAAACGCCUUGCAGCGCACUUAUCGAUUCCGGUGCUGACUGCAAGGGCACGGCUGAUGGAUUCAUCUCCUCCGAGGCAGCUCGCAGAAUGGGGCUCGCUAUUCGGCCGUGUUCAACUUCUUCGGUUCGCGUCGUGAACGGAUCCUCCGAGCUCAUUGAGGGCUUGAUACACGCCAAGUUGCGGAUAGCAUCUUUUCAUGACACAGUCAAACUGCUCGUGCUAAAGCAAGCUAACGCCGGAGUCGAACUUAUACUUGGCGCGGAUUGGCUUGUGCGCCGCAAAGCGCGGAUGUGCUUCCAAACGCGGACGCUUACGCUCCACAAGUCGCCCACAGACAGUUGGACGCUCAAGCCUUCCUUUUGGUCUUCGGACAAUAAUGCUGAAAAUCACCUUGAUGGUAUCACUAUCAUGAACUACGUCACCGCGACACUCUAUGCGGCGACGACAGUUGAAACGAUGUUGGCUAAAGCAGCGGCACGUAAAAUAGCAAAAGGAGCACGUAGCUAUCUUUUGUUAGUACAAUCUGAGCUGGAACAGGAAACAAAGGCCAAAGGCACACACACAAAUAUGGCCGAACUUAUUCCUGACAAUACUUUAAAGGGUUUGCUUGACGAAUACAAAGAUGUAUUUGAAGAGCUUAACGGCCUUCCGCCUGAUCGCGACAUUGGCCACACAAUUCCGCUCAUCGACGGAGCCGUACCGCCAGCAAAACGAUCGUACCGGUUGACUCAAUUAGAGCAACAAGAGAUGCGUAAACAAGUUACAGAGCUUUUGCAGAAAGGUUACAUUGAACCUUCUGCGUCGCCUUAUGGCGCACCCGUCAUCUUUGUGGAAAAAGCUAACGGGCAAGGCCUGCGUAUGGUCCUUGAUUAUCGAGCUCUGAAUAAACUUACGAUCAAGAGACGGUAUCCAAUGCCAAACAUUACCGAACUCUUCGAUCAGCUCCAAGGGGCUAACCUUUUCAGCUCCCUGGAUCUGCAGCAGGGGUAUAACCAAAUUCGCAUCUCGAAAGAAGAUAUUGAGAAAACGGCCUUCAUAGCACCGGGGCUCGGCCAGUAUCAAUUCAAAGUCCUAUGGCUUGGACUAACCAAUGCUCCUGCAACGUUCCAAGCAGUAAUGAACCGUAUAUUUGCUGCGUACAUUGGCAAAUUCGUGCUAGUGUACUUGGACGAUAUUUUGGUCUUCAGUAAGACCCCCGCCGAGCAUGAACAACACAUCCGUACCGUGUUGUCCUUGCUAAGAGAGCACCAAUUUAAAACAAAAAUAUCGAAAUGCCAGUUCAACCAGACCGAGCUGCAUUUCCUGGGUCACGUCGUCAGCCGAGAGGGGCUGAAAGUGGACGAGCGUAAGGUCAAAACCAUUAAAGAAUGGCCGAUACCGACAGACUUGCAAAAGCUGCGUUCGUUCCUUGGCUUAGCCAAUUAUUUUCGAAGAUUUAUCCAAGGAUAUUCUUCUCUCGUGGCCCCCCUCACGUCACUCACCAGUGCGAAGGUGCCCUACCACUGGACGAAGGACUGUCAAGGCUCCUUCGAGGGCGUGAAGUCUGCCUUAACCAACGCACCAGUAUUAAAACUCCCUGAACUAGACAAACCCUUCACUGUCUGGUCCGAUGCGUCGUUACACGGCACGGGCGCCGUACUUUUACAGAACGACCGCCCAGUCGCGUACACAAGCUCUAAAUUCAGCAGAGCUGAGUACAACUACACGACCACGGACCAAGAGUGUUUAGGAACUGUCCUAGCACUUGAAGAGUGGCGCUGUUACCUCGAGGGUGCAUCGGAUGUCACUUUAGUCACCAAUCACCAACCGCUGGUCUAUUUGCAAGAUCAGCAAAGCGCCGAUAAACUCUCUCGACGACAAGCUCGUUGGUUGGAACGCCUCUCACGUUUCGACUUUAAAUGGGAGUACCGACCCGGACGAAUCAACGUUGCUGACCCUCUCAGUCGGGUUCACGACGUGGUGCUGAACGUGCUUACGGCAUCGCUGAUUGGCAGCGAUAUUGGGCGCCGAAUCCUAAGCGGGUACGACGGCGAUCCCAUGCUCAAGAAGAGCUCGGUAGCAAAACUGCAGCUUAAACGGAAAGACGGCUUCUGGUAUUACGGUUCCCAGUUGUACGUUCCGGAUGUGCUUGACUUGCGAAAGGACAUCAUCCACGAAAAUCACGAUGUUCCUUACGCUGGCCACCGCGGCAUUGACCGCACCAAAAAAGCGAUCGCGAAACAUUUUUGGUGGCCCGGGUUGGAUACUAACGUGAAGGCCUACGUUAGUACCUGCCCUUCUUGUCAGCGCAAUAAGGCUUCAAAUCAAAAGCCAGGCGGACUGCUGCAGCCCCUUCCCAUUCCAGAUAACGUUUGGGAUAGUGUGUCAAUGGAUUUGGUCACACAGCUACCCACAACCCGCAAUGGGCAUGACGCGAUAGUAGUGUUCGUGGACCGCCUGAGCAAGAUGACGCACUUCACUCCCACAACCACAUCCGUCGGUGCGGAAGAUCUAGCCCGCCUCUUUGUGGCUACGGUUUUCAAACAGCACGGCCUUCCACAGAAUAUUGUGUCUGACCGGGACACACGCUUUACAAGCAACUUUUGGAAGGAAACAUUUCGCCUGCUAGGCACCCACCUCUAUAUGAGCACAGCCUACCAUCCGCAGACUGAUGGUCAAACCGAGCGAAGGAAUCGCUUACUGGAAGAGACACUGAGGCACUAUAUUUCGCCCACUCAGGAUGAUUGGGACGAACACCUGCCACUCAUCGAGUUUGCUAUUAAUAACUCGAGGCAGAGCUCAACGGGUGCCACCCCGUUUAGCCUUAAUGGUAUCAAGCAGCCACGUGUGCCGGUUGACUUGCACCUAAAAACCAAAGUGCCUGCCGCUGACCUCUAUCCCAAGGUCAUGCGCAAACGUAUUGAAAACGCAAAACAGUGUCUUAAGGCUGCUCAAUCCCGCCAGUGCAUUGUCGUCGACAAGCAUCGGCGUGCGGUGCGUUUUGAGGUUGGGGACUCCGUGCUGCUCAGCACCCGCAACAUCCAGUUGAAAUCUCCUGGAGCAAAGAAAUUAUUGCCUAAGUUUAUUGGGCCAUAUAAGGUUGUCGCCCGAGUGGGAGAGAACGCGGUAAAAUUGGGAUUACCCGCGACUUCCCGACUCCAUCCGGUCUUCCACGUAUCCUUGCUCAAACCAUUCAAGGACGAUGGAACACGACAACCGCCGCCCCCGUUCAUAAUUGACGAAGAGCCAUAUUACAUGGUUGAGGCACUACUUGACCAUCGUGAUGUGAAAAUCCGAGGUGGAACCGGCAAAAUACGUCGAGAAUAUCUGGUUAAAUGGGAAGGCUAUGACUCCAGUCAUAACACCUAUGAACCGGAAGAUUCCCUGCGUCAGUCCGUUCCCUUGGCUGAAGCUAUUGACGACUAUGAACGACGGUUGGCGGCAAAGUCCGGGCAACCUACACCAAAAAGGAAAGUGGUCCUGACCACCCCUCCUUCGGUAGCACCCCGGAACAUUACCCCAGAACAACCGAAACGGAAAGCACCUGCUCGCAAGAAAAGGUGAUGCUCCCGGGACGGUUCGCUUCUGAGGGGGAGGGAUGUAGCAAGCUACAUUUACCUUAGAAUAUCUUUAAGCUAUUAAAGCUUAAUCACAGUAACGGUACGGUCCCGUAUUUACGAACCAUACUCGUUAACUGUACGAACUCACUUUCUGGUACGCUAUCACAACCUAGCGUACGACACCAAGACUCCAGGAAUGGAGAUGGCGGCAGGUGGGCCGCAUUUAAGCCACCCAGGUGAAGUGCUUCGGCCAGACACUUAACGUAUCACUAUACUAGUGUUCAGGGUUCAAGACCUUGCUGUCACCGUUCUCGAUGUAUGUCUUCGAAUCCCGACUUCCCUUGUCUCUUCUCACGCCUAAUGCUGGGUCGCCAAUCGUGGACGACACCCUCUGCUUCCGCUAAAACAGCUAAGGUAAGAGACGGCUGUUACAUUUUGGUAUCGAGACCUCGUGUAAAAUCACGAUCCAGAAGUCGUCGGUUCAACCCCCACCGAUCACGUUCGAGUGGUAUUUCGGGUGUGGCGACUCAGUGAGCGAAUAUCGCACCAAACUAUAAAAGUAGCUGAACCGACUGGACUGUCUCUGUGCCUGAAAAACCUGAAGGCUAGGCGCAUGAAGGGCGGCAUGACGUGACGUGGGCUUGGCCACCCCACUGCCCGAGGGUAGGCGAAGGUAGGCACAGGCUGGCGGUAUACGAGGCUCGCUCUAAGGGCCCGAGACGGUUCCCUUCAAAGGGGGGGGAAUGUAGCAGCCGGUACACAGUACGGCGCUAUAAAUACGCGCAGAGCGCGACCGCCAGCAACUCGAGUGACCUUUUCAGCGGUCAGCUGCUACACUACCCAGGUAUUUCAGGGCACCCUCAUCCAGUCACCCUAGCCGUCUUCUCAGUGAAUCACUCGGGUACAUCUCAGGAGUGCUCCCACCACCGUCAUCCAACGACAUGUACAUCUGCAAACUUAAUGGCGGCUGGAGUCCAUUCCUGGUCAGCUCUCAUGUCAACAUUAUCCCAGGCCGUUACUGUUCAUCAAAUAGCGGCACUCUUACCUUCCACCAUCGGUAAAACGUUUUACCUUGACUGGUGGCAAUCCUGGAACCUCCGGAAGCGUCAGUGUAUACACACAUGUGUUACCAAUGCUGCCUGCUAAGUUCAUGACCUAUGUAUAUAUGUAUAUGUACGACACACCAG